UCGGGAAUAUUGCGCAAUGGAGGAAACUCUGACGCAGUGACGCCGCGUAUAGGAAGAAGUUUUUCGGAAUGUAAACUAUUGUCGUUAGGGAAGAGAAAGGACGGUACCUAAGGAGGAAGCCCCGGCUAACUAUGUGCCAGCAGCCGCGGUAAUACAUAGGGGGCGAGCGUUAUCCGGAAUUAUUGGGUGUAAAGGGUGCGUAGACGGGAAAUUAAGUUAGUUGUGAAAUCCCUUGGCUUAACUGAGGAACUGCAACUAAAACUGAUUUUCUUGAGUAUUGGAGAGGAAAGUGGAAUUCCUAGU
This 303-nucleotide ribosomal RNA is filed under the name uncultured bacterium. RNAcentral describes it as "bacterial SSU rRNA". It matches the Rfam family "Bacterial small subunit ribosomal RNA", at positions 355 to 674 of the family's 1533-position model. The record is from RNAcentral.